RNAcentral lists this ribosomal RNA (253 nucleotides) under uncultured bacterium. Its description in RNAcentral is "partial 16S ribosomal RNA". It matches the Rfam family "Bacterial small subunit ribosomal RNA", at positions 524 to 776 of the family's 1533-position model. The record is from RNAcentral.
UACGAAGGUCCCAAGCGUUAUCCGGAUUUAUUGGGUUUAAAGGGUGCGUAGGCGGACUAUUAAGUCAGUGGUGAAAGCCCCAAGCUUAACUUGGGAACUGCCAUUGAUACUGAUGGUCUUGAGUACAUUUGAGGUGGGCGGAAUGUGUCAUGUAGCGGUAAAAUGCUUAGAUAUGACACAGAACACCGAUUGCGAAGGCAGCUCACUAAACUGUAACUGACGCUGAGGCACGAAAGCGUGGGGAGCAAACAGG